CCUGAUGGCUCAGAUGGUAAAGCGUCUGCCUACAAUGCGGGAGACCCGGGUUCAAAUCCCUGGGUCGGGA
Molecule: transfer RNA, 70 nt
Filed under: Ovis aries (sheep)
Lineage: Eukaryota; Metazoa; Chordata; Mammalia; Artiodactyla; Bovidae
Rfam family: tRNA
About the family: Transfer RNA (tRNA) molecules are approximately 80 nucleotides in length.
Source: Rfam by way of RNAcentral